CACACGCAGGUCCAUGGGGAUGGCGGCAGGCGGGAGGCGCAGCGGUAGUGCUGAAUUGAUGUCCACUGGUGAGACAGCGAAGGCCCAACAAAGUGAUUGGAAAUCAGAUGAUUCAGAAGCUGAAUGGUGACUGACAACACUCAGGACGUGAUGUGAAAAACGGCAAAUCUUCUCAAACAUCUUCAACUCCCAAAAGGGCAAGGAAAAACUCCAAACUCCAGCUAGGGGAAACGAGAAACCUUGAGAAGAGACCACGUCUCCGGUCGCUAGAAUUUCCGAGCGUUUUUUUUCUCUAUACAACACCAUUUAAUGUCUUUAAUUAAACUAUUUGGCUUUUAAAUGGAACAAAUUGCUCUCAAAAUUGAAAUAUAAAUAAAAUAACAUUAAUGAUAAUGAACGAUUGACUUUUUUUUUUUAAACACCGUUAAUGAGCAACACUCGCCCUGUGGCUAACUUAUAUCUUUCAACCACCUCGAUGCAAGUUCGAGUCUUGGACUCGGGAAAAAGUUCAGUCUGGUCUUGACUUCCGACCAAGCGUGAAAAUCUGAUUGCAAUCGUGACACAAUUAGGGAUGCACCGAAAUAAAAAUUCUUGGCCGAAACCGAAAACCAAAAAUGAGGAAACCAAGGCCGAAAACCGAAACACCGAAAGAAAUGUCAGUUAUUAGAACCACAGCAUUUAUGGCUACAUGUGUACUAACCUCACUAAAAUCAAGGCAUUGCAAUAAACCAGUUACGAAAGUAUGAAAAUAUUUAUUUAGCACUGACAACAAUGCACAAUAUAAAUUAAAAUUCAAAAAUAAAAUGUUUAACUUGACCCAACUCAUGUGUACAUUAAAUAAUAAUUUACAGGCUUAUAACUGACUGUAAAAUUAAAUAUGUUCUCUUAUAAAAACACAGAGAACUUUCUUGCCUUUUCAAAAACGUCCCCCACAGACGGAGUGGGCGUGCUCGGUGUCAGUUUCCUUUUCUGUGUCGCCUUCUUCUCAUAUUCAGAAUGGCGAUCGGGAUGUUUGGAUUUCAGGUGAUGAAUUAAACCCGACAUGGAGAAA
Long non-coding RNA from Syngnathus typhle (broad-nosed pipefish), 1051 nucleotides. RefSeq lists it as uncharacterized. NCBI's taxonomy places the organism in Eukaryota, Metazoa, Chordata, Actinopteri, Syngnathiformes, Syngnathidae. The record is from RefSeq and is a predicted model, not a curated record. The transcript has 2 exons.